CGGGAUAAGCCGUGGAAACGCCGUCUAAUACCGGAUACGACCUCCCACCUCAUGGUGGAGGGUGGAAAGUUUUUCGGUCAGGGAUGGGCUCCCGGCCUAUCUCCUUGUUGGUGGGGUAACGGGCUACCACGGCGAUAACAGGUAGCCGGCCUGAGAGGGGGACCGGGCACACUGGGACUGAGACACGGCCCCCACACCCG
RNAcentral lists this ribosomal RNA (200 nucleotides) under Nocardiopsis sp. RNAcentral describes it as "partial 16S ribosomal RNA". It matches the Rfam family "Bacterial small subunit ribosomal RNA", at positions 139 to 341 of the family's 1533-position model. Lineage: Bacteria; Bacillati; Actinomycetota; Actinomycetes; Streptosporangiales; Nocardiopsidaceae. The record is from RNAcentral.